Molecule: non-coding RNA, 301 nt
Organism: Nomascus leucogenys (northern white-cheeked gibbon)
Lineage: Eukaryota; Metazoa; Chordata; Mammalia; Primates; Hylobatidae
Rfam family: Metazoan signal recognition particle RNA
About the family: The signal recognition particle (SRP) is a universally conserved ribonucleoprotein. It is involved in the co-translational targeting of proteins to membranes.
Source: Rfam
GCUAGGCAUGGUGGUGCAUUCCCCGUAGUUCCAGCUACUCAAGAGGCUGAGGUAGGAGGAUCGCUUGAGUAAAGGAGUUCUGGGGUGUUAUGUGCUAUGCCAAUUAGGUGUCUGCACUAAGUUUGGCAUCAAUAUGGUGACCUCCUGGAAGUGGGGGACCACCAGGUUGCCUAAGGAGGAGUGAACUGGCCCAGGUUGGAAAUGGAGCAGGUCAAAAUUCCCAUGCUGAUCAGUAGUGGAAUCAUGCCUGUGAAUAGUUGCUGCAUUCCAGCAUGAGCAACCUAACAAGAAUCCAUCUCUA